RNAcentral lists this ribosomal RNA (301 nucleotides) under uncultured bacterium. RNAcentral's name for it is "partial 16S ribosomal RNA". It matches the Rfam family "Bacterial small subunit ribosomal RNA", at positions 509 to 807 of the family's 1533-position model. The record is from RNAcentral.
CAGUCGCCGCGGGAAUACGGAGGGGGCUAGCGUUGCUCGGAAUUACUGGGCGUAAAGCGUACGUAGGCGGCUUUGUAAGUUAGAGGUGAAAGCCUGGAGCUCAACUCCAGAAUUGCCUUUAAGACUGCAGAGCUAGCAGGUGAGAGAGGUGAGUGGAAUUCCGAGUGUAGAGGUGAAAUUCGUAGAUAUUCGGAAGAACACCAGUGGCGAAGGCGGCUCACUGGCUCAUACUGGACGCUGAGGUGCGAAAGCGUGGGGAGCAAACAGGAUUAGAUACCCCCGUAGUCCCUGUCUAUUAUAC